CAGGCUGCAACUCGCCUGCAUGAAGUUGGAAUUGCUAGUAAUCGCGAAUCAGAAUGUCGCGGUGAAUACGUUCCCGGGCCUUGUACACACCGCCCGUCACACCAUGAGAGUCGAUAACACCCGAAGCCUGUGAGCUAACCGUAAGGAGGCAGCAGUCGAAGGUGGGGUUGAUGAUUGGGGUGAAGUCGUAACAAGGUACC
Molecule: ribosomal RNA, 200 nt
Filed under: uncultured bacterium
Lineage: Bacteria
Description: partial 16S ribosomal RNA
Rfam family: Bacterial small subunit ribosomal RNA
Source: RNAcentral